GUUUGAUCAUGGCUCAGAACGAACGCUGGCGGCAUGCCUAACACAUGCAAGUCGAACGAAGUCUUCGGACUUAGUGGCGCACGGGUGCGUAACGCGUGGGAAUCUGCCCUUGGGUACGGAAUAACUCAGAGAAAUUUGUGCUAAUACCGUAUAAUGUCGUAAGACCAAAGAUUUAUCGCCCAAGGAUGAGCCCGCGUAAGAUUAGCUAGUUGGUAGGGUAAAAGCCUACCAAGGCGACGAUCUUUAGCUGGUCUGAGAGGAUGAUCAGCCACACUGGGACUGAGACACGGCCCAGACUCCUACGGGAGGCAGCAGUGGGGAAUAUUGGACAAUGGGCGAAAGCCUGAUCCAGCAAUGCCGCGUGAGUGAUGAAGGCCCUAGGGUUGUAAAGCUCUUUUACCCGGGAUGAUAAUGACAGUACCGGGAGAAUAAGCUCCGGCUAACUCCGUG
This 450-nucleotide ribosomal RNA is filed under the name uncultured bacterium. RNAcentral describes it as "bacterial SSU rRNA". It matches the Rfam family "Bacterial small subunit ribosomal RNA", at positions 11 to 507 of the family's 1533-position model. The record is from RNAcentral.